Molecule: long non-coding RNA, 342 nt
Organism: Neopsephotus bourkii (Bourke's parrot)
Lineage: Eukaryota; Metazoa; Chordata; Aves; Psittaciformes; Psittacidae
Exons: 2
Source: RefSeq, a predicted model, not a curated record
UAACUGAUAAGCAGGAGGAUAGGAGGAUUAUUAUGUCUCUGGUGCUAACGAACCAAUUAAGCUGUUAAGAGCAUCUACUGGGUGUGCUUCAAAGGCUGCCAGAAGUGAUGAAGAUUGUUGGAAGAAUAAACAACCCUCAGAGACCACCACCACAAUUUUGUACACAUGCGGGGAACUUUCUGGAAAAUAAUGUAAUCCAUACGUAGCCUCAUGAAUAUGUAUGUAUGCCCAGGAACUAUAUAAGGGCAGCUUGUGCAGCAAUAUGGGGACACAUGUUAGGAGGAGCUAUCCCCCGUGCCUACUGUCACCACAAUAAAGAAUACCUGCUUGUCAACUUGAAAA